RNAcentral lists this long non-coding RNA (376 nucleotides) under Lathyrus oleraceus (garden pea). Its description in RNAcentral is "Pisum sativum (pea) long non-coding RNA (PSAT_LNC007812)". Lineage: Eukaryota; Viridiplantae; Streptophyta; Magnoliopsida; Fabales; Fabaceae. The record is from RNAcentral.
AGUCGACAUCUCUGACUUCAGACUGGAUGACUGUCUAGAUUCAGAAGAAGAUUUUGUUAGGUUCAAAAGAGGUCCCUCUUCAAAGAAGUCUUCAAAGGCAAAGAGAGCAAGGCUAGGAGAAACUUCUGGAACCAGAUCUCCAGCGCCUCUGCAAGUAACUACUGGUACGUCUGCUCCCUCUAUUCCCUCUGAACCUCUUAUGGCUUCUUCUUCUAAUCCUCUCCCAACACCACCUAUAUACACAUCCUCUGAAACCCCACCUUCUACAACCAGAACCUCACAACCUCUACCCAAUUUUAAUCUUGCUCAGACUACCACUUCCUCUUCAUCAUCUUCAGCCCCAAAAUCACCUCCAUACCUUGACCUCUCCUCUGAC